CGAAUGAAAAGGCAAAGCUGAUGAAAGUCAGUGACGCAAAGUCAUGGGUCUAAAACACAUUUGUUAUGAUCGCCAGGCUACCAAC
Molecule: non-coding RNA, 85 nt
Filed under: Fusibacter sp. 3D3
Lineage: Bacteria; Bacillati; Bacillota; Clostridia; Eubacteriales; Fusibacteraceae
Also listed under: 1 other name
Description: Fusibacter sp. 3-D3-R-P8ASC2010 c-di-GMP-I riboswitch aptamer
Rfam family: c-di-GMP-I riboswitch aptamer
About the family: GEMM was predicted in a large-scale screen for bacterial structured RNA regulatory elements.
Source: Rfam by way of RNAcentral